This 210-nucleotide long non-coding RNA is filed under the name Mytilus galloprovincialis (Mediterranean mussel). Lineage: Eukaryota; Metazoa; Mollusca; Bivalvia; Mytilida; Mytilidae. The record is from RNAcentral.
CGUACACGUUUACUCCAUAUUCCUUUAUUUUCUGUCUAAACACGACUUAAUGCAAGUUUAACCCUUCAAUGUAAAAGGUCAUAUGGCAAUACAAUGCUUUUUUCAAAUGAUUUGAUACCGGGAAAUUGGUGGUCUUUCUUUAAUUUAAACCAUGUCAGCUAUGUAGUUUUAUCCACAGGAGCUUGGGUAUAUGAUACAGAUAUUUUUUUU